Colletes gigas is the source of this 334-nucleotide long non-coding RNA. RefSeq lists it as uncharacterized. NCBI's taxonomy places the organism in Eukaryota, Metazoa, Arthropoda, Insecta, Hymenoptera, Colletidae. The record is from RefSeq and is a predicted model, not a curated record. The transcript has 3 exons.
AUCAAGUAGAAGUUGUAAUUUAGUUCACUGUUCUGUGUUUGGUGUUCCAAGUAACCUCUGACUACAGCACUAUUGGGAAGAUAGAAACGUCAAGUUCGCUCGGUUGGCAACGAAGCCAACUCAAUCUGUUAACAAUGUCAGGCCUUUCAGCUUUACGAUUCUCAGAGAUUCUGAAAAGAACAAAUUAGAUCGAAGGAUCACAGUAUGAUGGUAUAACACUAUAAUACCAAUCGACUUUCGAGAUUUAGACAGUUUAAAUUAUUACAUAACCUCCAAAUGUCCUCGAAUGCGAAAAUUUUAGGCCAACUCGCUCAACCGAAGUGUCAUAAUAUUU